Molecule: ribosomal RNA, 452 nt
Filed under: uncultured Flavobacterium sp.
Lineage: Bacteria; Pseudomonadati; Bacteroidota; Flavobacteriia; Flavobacteriales; Flavobacteriaceae
Description: bacterial SSU rRNA
Rfam family: Bacterial small subunit ribosomal RNA
Source: RNAcentral
CGGGGUGCAGCAGUGAGGAAUAUUGGACAAUGGGCGCAAGCCUGAUCCAGCCAUGCCGCGUGCAGGAUGACGGUCCUAUGGAUUGUAAACUGCUUUUGCACAGGAAGAAACCCUGCCACGUGUGGCAGAUUGACGGUACUGUGAGAAUAAGGAUCGGCUAACUCCGUGCCAGCAGCCGCGGUAAUACGGAGGAUCCAAGCGUUAUCCGGAAUCAUUGGGUUUAAAGGGUCCGUAGGCGGUUUGGUAAGUCAGUGGUGAAAGCCCAUCGCUCAACGGUGGAACGGCCAUUGAUACUGCCAGACUUGAAUUAUUAGGAAGUAACUAGAAUAUGUAGUGUAGCGGUGAAAUGCUUAGAGAUUACAUGGAAUACCAAUUGCGAAGGCAGGUUACUACUAAUGGAUUGACGCUGAUGGACGAAAGCGUGGGUAGCGAACAGGAUUAGAUACCCCCGU